This 72-nucleotide transfer RNA is filed under the name Ictidomys tridecemlineatus (thirteen-lined ground squirrel). RNAcentral's name for it is "Spermophilus tridecemlineatus (thirteen-lined ground squirrel) tRNA". It matches the Rfam family "tRNA". Rfam says of the family: Transfer RNA (tRNA) molecules are approximately 80 nucleotides in length. Their secondary structure includes four short double-helical elements and three loops (D, anti-codon, and T loops). Further hydrogen bonds mediate the characteristic L-shaped molecular structure. tRNAs have two regions of fundamental functional importance: the anti-codon, which is responsible for specific mRNA codon recognition, and the 3' end, to which the tRNAs corresponding amino acid is attached (by aminoacyl-tRNA synthetases). tRNAs cope with the degeneracy of the genetic code in two manners: having more than one tRNA (with a specific anti-codon) for a particular amino acid; and 'wobble' base-pairing, i.e. permitting non-standard base-pairing at the 3rd anti-codon position. The record is from Rfam by way of RNAcentral. Lineage: Eukaryota; Metazoa; Chordata; Mammalia; Rodentia; Sciuridae.
GGGAGUGUAACUUCAUGGUAGAGUAUUUGUCUAGUAUGCUUAUAGCCCGGGGUUUGAUCCCCAGCACUGCCC